CUCGUCAGGCUCAGUCCCCUCCCGAUAAAGCCCUAAGUGGGGGCUUCCCGGGGGAUGGC
RNAcentral lists this microRNA precursor (59 nucleotides) under Chinchilla lanigera (long-tailed chinchilla). RNAcentral describes it as "microRNA 484 (ENSCLAG00000021268.1)". It matches the Rfam family "mir-484 microRNA precursor family", at positions 1 to 59 of the family's 67-position model. The record is from RNAcentral. Lineage: Eukaryota; Metazoa; Chordata; Mammalia; Rodentia; Chinchillidae.